CCAGCCGGCCGCGCCCCCGCCGGUGCCCAGGCCGGUGCCGAGCCGCCGGCCCCCGGGCCAGCCGAUCGGGGGCCCCUGCCGCCCCCCAGGCCCCUCACCCCGGCCGGCCCGGAUCAGAAGUGUCGACGCCCCGAAACGAGUCACCGCGGACGGCCGCGUGCGGCCAGGUGCUUCUGUGGUGAACACACGAGUGUGUGAGGCGUGUGCUGAAUGGCAUCGUGAAGGCGCAGGAUGUCCACAGUGUGCCUGCAGUGGGGGUUAUCCCCACCCCACUCUCCCCCAAGAACGGACAAGAUGGAGGGGCUCCCAGAAGGACCCUGUCCCUGGAGCCCGGCCAGGGCUGGGGGCACGGGGUACAAAGUAGGGCCCAGCACGUCUCUCUCUAAGCAAGACUCACUUCCAGCCUGCCCAGGAGAUGGCAGCGCUGCUCUCUCCUCGAGGGCCUGGGGACUCAGAGUUAGGACACGUGGACAUCCUCAACAAUGCUUGAUAUGGUGGUCGAUUUGUAAACAUUCAAUAGGAAUAUCAUGAUAAAAAUGGCCGGCACCCAAAUGCCAGGUCCCUGAAGUCUCGCCUUGAGCCAACUCAGAGGGGAAAGACAGACCUGCUGCCCUGGCUGCCCACAAAGGAGUUUGAUGAAGUAACAAAGUCCCUGGUGGGGGAGGAGAGCCUCGGAGCUGAUGGCCAGCCCUAGCCGGUGUAGGUCAUCUCCAGUGUGCCACUGCCUGUUUCUCCAGCGCCUGGCCCAGAGAAGUUCCACGAUGAUUGCCUGUUGAGUGGCUGGAACUCUAACUUCAAUGCCGACCUUCUAACUACCGGGCCACGUGGCCCUGCGAGUAGGGGGAAACCAGACACCCCCUCCCUCCCCAAAAUCACCACCCCCGAAAAAAGUACGUGAAGAAGGAAAGAAUCUCCUUGCCCUUCCUUUACCAGCUGUGUGUGUCUUUGGUUGAUUCUCUACAAAGUGGGGUUGUAACAGUACCUUUCUGCAGUUGUAGAAGUUAAACAAGAUCAUCGACCUCGAGCUCGCAGCCCGGCAUGGAGUAAGCACUUGGAAUGAGCGUUAGCUAUGUCACAUCACCACCGUCGUCCUAGAACCCGUGUUCACACGGCCCUGGUCACGGGCCCUCCAUCCAGUGCACUUCUCUGAACCUCCCCCGUCUGCCCAACAACUGGCUGCAGACACUCUCGACGCAGCAUGUCUCAGAGUUUCCAACCUUGGCACUUGGACCUUCGGGGCUGGAUAAUUCUCACCUUGGUGGCAGGCAGCUGUCCCGUGCACUGUAGGGUGUUUGGCAGCAUCCCUGGCCUCUACCCCCACAAAUACCGGUAAUAGUCCCCAACUUGUGACAACCAGAAUGUCUCCAGGCAUUGCCACAUGUCACCUGGGAAGCAUAAUCACCCCUGGUUGAGAGCCCCUUGUUUGAAGGAAGCUGUUUUCCCUGCCCCCUGAGCUGGUGCAGGCUGCUCCCCGGCCAUGCCGUGGGUCCCAGUGUGGGGAGAUUAUAUUGUCCACACUCAUGCGACGUCACGUUCCUCCUCAGACUCCACUUCCCGGGGACUGGAGUGAACCGGCAGCUGGCUUUGUCAGACUGUCAAGGAGCACGGGCACCCACAGGAUGGAAUAAGGUGCAACCUGUUUUCAGUCGUGUUUUUGGAGCCUAUAUAGUGGCAUGAGGCCACGCCUGUAAUAAAACGCCAAGCACCAAAAGCAAGCAUCAAAAUUAUUUGUCCUUAAGUGGUCCCAAUUUCGUAGCCCCCUAUGGCGUUAUUGCUUUGGAAGAACUCUCUGGAAGCUCCGUCUGAAAACUGUCUCAAAAUUGCGUCAGCCAGGAGAGCAUUCCCGAACCUCAUUUUGAACAGGCAUGAGACACCGGCAUAAUGGAACACACACUCCGUCCCGAUGGCAUUUAAUGUACUGAUCAAAUAAUAAAAUGCGCUUAGUCUCCCA
Molecule: non-coding RNA, 1951 nt
Organism: Equus caballus (horse)
Lineage: Eukaryota; Metazoa; Chordata; Mammalia; Perissodactyla; Equidae
Source: RefSeq, a predicted model, not a curated record